GUGGGCGGCGUGCUAUACAUGCAAGUCGAGCGAACAGAUGAGAAGCUUGCUUCUCUGAUGUUAGCGGCGGACGGGUGAGUAACACGUGGGUAACCUACCUAUAAGACUGGGAUAACUCCGGGAAACCGGGGCUAAUACCGGAUAAUAUUUUGAACCGCAGGUUCAAUAGUGAAAGACGGUUUCGGCUGUCACUUAUAGAUGGACCCGCGCCGUAUUAGCUAGUUGGUAAGGUAACGGCUUACCAAGGCGACGAUACGUAGCCGACCUGAGAGGGUGAUCGGCCACACUGGAACUGAGACACGGUCCAGACUCCUACGGGAGGCAGCAGUAGGGAAUCUUCCGCAAUGGGCGAAAGCCUGACGGAGCAACGCCGCGUGAGUGAUGAAGGUCUUCGGAUCGUAAAACUCUGUUGUUAGGGAAGAACAAAUUUGUUAGUAACUGAACAAGUCUUGACGGUACCUAACCAGAAAGCCACGGCUAACUACGUGCCAGCAGCCGCGGUAAUACGUAGGUGGCAAGCGUUAUCCGGAAUUAUUGGGCGUAAAGCGCGCGUAGGCGGUUUCUUAAGUCUGAUGUGAAAGCCCACGGCUCAACCGUGGAGGGUCAUUGGAAACUGGGAAACUUGAGUGCAGAAGAGGAGAGUGGAAUUCCAUGUGUAGCGGUGAAAUGCGCAGAGAUAUGGAGGAACACCAGUGGCGAAGGCGGCUCUCUGGUCUGUAACUGACGCUGAUGUGCGAAAGCGUGGGGAUCAAACAGGAUUAGAUACCCUGGUAGUCCACGCCGUAAACGAUGAGUGCUAAGUGUUAGGGGGUUUCCGCCCCUUAGUGCUGCAGCUAACGCAUUAAGCACUCCGCCUGGGGAGUACGACCGCAAGUUGAAACUCAAGAUGACGGGGACCCGCACAGCGUGAGCAUGUGUUUAUCGAGCACGCGAGACUACAAAUCUGACAUCUUUGACGCUCUAGAGAUGAGUCUCCCCUCGGGGACAAGUGACAGUGUGCAUGUGUCGUCAGCUCUGUCCUGGAUGUGGUAGUCGCACGAGCGCACCUAAGCUAGUGCAUCAUAUGGCAUCUAGUGACUGCGUGCAAACCGACGAAAGGAUAC
This 1103-nucleotide ribosomal RNA is filed under the name Staphylococcus sp. DJ8. RNAcentral's name for it is "bacterial SSU rRNA". It matches the Rfam family "Bacterial small subunit ribosomal RNA", at positions 35 to 1178 of the family's 1533-position model. Lineage: Bacteria; Bacillati; Bacillota; Bacilli; Caryophanales; Staphylococcaceae. The record is from RNAcentral.